This 472-nucleotide ribosomal RNA is filed under the name uncultured organism. RNAcentral's name for it is "partial 16S ribosomal RNA". It matches the Rfam family "Bacterial small subunit ribosomal RNA", at positions 333 to 797 of the family's 1533-position model. The record is from RNAcentral.
ACACUCCUGCGGGAGGCAGCAGUGGGGAAUUUUGGACAAUGGGCGAAAGCCUGAUCCAGCAAUGCCGCGUGUGUGAAGAAGGCCUUCGGGUUGUAAAGCACUUUUGUCCGGAAAGAAAUCCUUGGCUCUAAUACAGUCGGGGGAUGACGGUACCGGAAGAAUAAGCACCGGCUAACUACGUGCCAGCAGCCGCGGUAAUACGUAGGGUGCGAGCGUUAAUCGGAAUUACUGGGCGUAAAGCGUGCGCAGGCGGUUUGCUAAGACCGAUGUGAAAUCCCCGGGCUCAACCUGGGAACUGCAUUGGUGACUGGCAGGCUAGAGUAUGGCAGAGGGGGGUAGAAUUCCACGUGUAGCAGUGAAAUGCGUAGAGAUGUGGAGGAAUACCGAUGGCGAAGGCAGCCCCCUGGGCCAAUACUUACGCUCAUGCACGAAAGCGUGGGGAGCAAACAGGAUUAGAAACCCCGGUAGUCCC